Molecule: long non-coding RNA, 727 nt
Filed under: Triticum aestivum (bread wheat)
Lineage: Eukaryota; Viridiplantae; Streptophyta; Magnoliopsida; Poales; Poaceae
Description: long non-coding RNA (TAES_LNC022962)
Source: RNAcentral
GAAAUUGUCAGAGAGAGCAAUCAGUUAUAUACUAGUACACGAUUUGUCACGAAGUCUACUCCAGAUUUGUAAUAUCUCAAAAUCCUACUUUAAGUCUACUCAUUAGGAAUUAUUGAUGAUGUUUCCAUGGCGUCGGUUGUCUUGUUCCAGCGGUGUACUUCGGGGUCUUUGUCCUGUAGAAUGAUGGCGAAGCAUGACUGCUGCAUGAGUAGGUGACCUCCUGUUUGCCCUUUGUUCCCUUUUCUACCAUCUUAACUAGUUGGACCAGGGGGAAUCCUUGCCAAUUUGAAAACUUCUCUUUCACGACUGCAAAGACAUGCACAAAUCGCAUUGAAUUAUUAGCAUGUGAGUUUGGUCAGAUAGUUGUCAGACGUAUAGCAAAAUAAUGUACAGUUCGUCCUCCUGUAAGAUAAACACCCUUCAGUCUGAAACUACACUUUCUUUACUCUGAAACUAGUGAUGCAAUUGAUUUUGUAGCUCGACUGAGCGACUCAAACGAUCCGAUCAAGUACGAGCUUGCUAGGUUGCACUUCGUUCGUCCCAGUUUAAUCAAAAUAUGUGAUUAACAUGUGGUCGUGUACGAUUAGCAAAUCAAACCUCUUACCUGAAGGAGCUAAUUGCAUGCUAACAGCCUAAAGGAAACACAAACUUUCAGACUUGCAAGGGAGGGGGUCACCUGUUCUGAACUGGGCAAGAUGGAGGUUCAUGUGGGGGAGUAAGAGGCCGG